UGCACCGACCCAGCCCCUGCCCCCGGAGUGUUAGAAACGCUCCGUGCCACCGUCAUAGACACGCUUGCCUGGGCUGCGGGCUGUGCCCUGUCGCACAUGUGCCCACAGUGGACCCGCGUGUGGUUAGGUGGCACCAGACCACUGAAAGUGCCCAUGUGCAGAUCUGAGAACCACCUUGGAGGUCCUUGCACAGCUUCCAGUCACAGCCACUGUAGUGUCCCCUUCUUGAAGUGUCACACCUCAGACGCCUGCCAGCCCGCUGAGCUGCUGGUAGGAAAAGGAGGGAAGAGAGCAGGAGCCCCAGCGAGACAAAGGGCUGUUAACACAGUGUUUAUUCUCUGUGUGGGAACAAUGCUUCAUUAUUUAAAUGCAACACAGAGCUCAAGUUAGUGGUAGCAUUUAGAGGUUCAUUAAUAACAAGUCUAAUAAAAAAAAGUUACAAAUAGAGCUUCAAUUAAGCUGUGUUGAUUAAUUUAAUACUCAUUGCUUCGGUCUGUGACGAUGUCAUUAAACAUAGUCUCUGGCUGUUUCUUGACAGUUGUUUUUGUGCCCCUAAAUUAUAUUCGAGGUUAUUUAGCAUGUUUUUUUUUUUUUUUAACAAAUCAUGCCAUACAAUUAAAGUGACAGGUUGUUCAGAAGUCGCCCCCAAACUCUCCCUUGAAUGCCCGUCGAAGGUGGUUUGUAACAGCCAGGCAUUAAAUGUUAAAUACGAGGAUGGCUUUGUUGUUGCAUAAAUUAAAGCCGCACACAUAGCAAGGUUGGAAAUUGAAAAUGGCACAGCCAUUUGACUUUUCAGAAAGUAGUUAUCCCGCGUCACACAGCCCCUCCUUUGGCCUGUUCUGAACUGCCAAAUGUGAGCAAGCGUUUUCGUCUUCGUAGAAUUUCUUCACUUGUGAUGCCAGGGUUGACCUCCAUAAACUCAGGGACCUACAGGUAAGUGAGGCCGGGAAGUCGGGGAAUUGUGGCUGUGCGGCCCAGCAGGGGUGCUCUGAGGACAUCCGGGUACAAGUGCGUGGGAGACAGAGACUCACUACAGACUCAGUGCACUCAGGGCCUGGGCUCCCAGCAGUGUCACCUUUAAUUUAAAUGGCAUUGGAUUCCCGUCGCCCAGUGCUUUGGAACACAGGGUUUCCAUCAGGGGUUUCUUGUUUGUUUUUUGCUCUUCUGAAUGCAUUGUUUGGUCAGGUCAUCUUUCUUCGUUAUAUUCCAAGUCCAACAGGACUCCCUGGGUGAAAUUGCUUGAACUGCCACUUUGCGAGUUUCUGUGUUAGCCAGGGGGCCGUGCAGACUGACAGCUCGUCAUCUAGCACCUGCAUAAUGCACGCCAUUAUGGCUGCUGCCCAGCGAUUAAAAACAGGGAGCGUGGAGGACUGGCUUGUUGGCUUUCACGCAUCAGCCGGCAUUCCUGUGAUGGAUGCUGUGUGCUCUUCUUGUCAUGGAACAGAAGAUAAGCCGCUGCUCGUUCAGGGAUCUGUUAAUUAUGAAUCACCUUUUUCUGCAACCUGCAAGUGCAGAGCAGAGGCCUGUGGUCGAGCUUUCGGUUUGGGACCAGGAGAUUGCAGAGAGUGGGGCAGUGUGUGUUGUUUCCGGGAGCCGUGAUAAGCAGUGCAGUGUGGCCCUCCGCCUGCUAAGGGUGCUGCACACGCCACAUGUGCUGUAUCUAGCACUGCACCUACCCUGCAGGCUCUUCUGUGGCCUGUCACAGGAGCCAGCGUCGUGAUAGAGUGGACCCAUUUGUAAACGUCACAGGCCUGCUCGUUCUUGAGAACUGAGCUCUUGGGUUUGGGUCAGAGGCUGAGGUUUUUCUGAAAGUUAGGAAGCAGCUUCCCCCCCGCGUUUGCAUUUUGCAGUUACUCCAUUGUGCUUUACUGGGAGCUCUGAUUCUGAGAUGAUGCCCACUGAUUGGGCUUGUGAGGCAAGUUCAAAAGUAAUUCCGUGGAAAACUGAAUGAAAAGAGGUUUGUGGCAGGCGUUUGACAAGGUUGUUCAGACACCUGAUCUCAUACCAGAGUGCCUGGGUUUGAGUCCUGGCUCUGCUUCUGAUUCAGGUUCCAGCUGAACCACACCCUGGGAGGCAGCAGGUGAUGGCUCAAGUGCUGAGUGGAUCUGUAUGGAGCUCCUGCCUCCUGACCCUGGCCUGACCCAGCCCUGGCGGUUGUGGGCAUUUGAGGAGAGAACCAGUGUAUGCACGAUAUGCUCGCUGUCUCUACCUCUCAGAUAAAAUGAAGUAUAAAAAUAGUAAAAGUUUAUAUUGGUGCAAAGUUUGAAAUCCAUAUAUAGGUUAUUCAUAGAAUGCAUUUUCCAUGACCUUUUGGAAGACCCAUGUAUGCAUGGAUUUCAAAAUUUUUUUGUGCCCAAAUAAACUUAUUUUUAAACUUAUCUUCUACCAGCUUUGUGACAUACACGCUCUCGUGUGCUGAUCACUCCUGCAGAGCUUUUCCCAGCUCCAGGCUCGGUGACGUCUGCGGCAGCUGAGACUCUGCAGUGGUUCUAGUAUUGAUGCCAUUGAGGUCUGGAGUCCAAAGGACAGAGCCUUUCUCCCAGGAGAGCAGCACAGCCUGCGAGGCAUGCCCGAGUGAUGCUGUCUGCAGAGCUCAGCAUCUUGUGUGUGUCCUUUGGACACGGCUGUGUUCUGUCUGGUUGUGGCCCACUGAGGAUCGUGGCUUGCCAGGCGCCAUCUGUGUUAGUGAAUCUUGACCCCGAAUCUUCCUUCCCAGCACUGUUACAUGGCAUUAGUAUUUAGAGCACUGAUGUUUUAGCUACCUUCCCUCCCUACUGAGUGGGAUUGCUUGGGACGAGUAUUCCCUCGACUUGAUUCUUUUAUUUUUAAAAUUUAUUUAUUUUCAUGUCCUUUAAAACAUAGUGACAGAGGGGAGAGAGAGAGAGAGAGAGAGAGAGAGAGAGAGAGAAAUCUUCCAUCCACUGGUUUACUCUCGAAAUGCCUACAACAGCCAUGGCUGGGCUAGGCUGAGGCCAGGAGCCUGGAACUCCCUCCAGGUCUCUCACAUGGGUGGAUCCAAGCACUUGGGCCAUCGUCUGCUGCCUCCUAGUGCAUUAGCAGAGAGUAGGAUUGGAAGCAGAGUAGCUGGGACCAGAACUGACACUUGAACAUGAAAUGUGGGCAUCCCACAUGGUGCCUUCACCCCUGAACCACAACACAUACCCCCCAUUUUUAACAUAGGGAAGUGCAGUAAGACUUCAAAAUUGCUUUUUCUUUCUUUCCUUACCGAUUUAUUUAUUUGAAAGACAGAAUUACUGUUGUGGGGGGAGGGGCAGAAUAUCUCCAUCUGAUGAUAAACUCCCCAAAUGGCUACAAUGGCUGGGGCUGGGCCAGGCCAGAGCCAGGAGCCUGGAACUCAGCCUCUGAGGCUCCCACGUAGGGGGCAGGGGUCCACGCACUUGGCCAUCUUCCGCUGCCUUCCCGGGUGCAUUCACAGGGAGCUGGAUCAGAAGUGGAGCAGCUGAAACUGGAACCUGCUCUCCCAUGGGACGCUGGCAUCUCAAGUGGAGGCUGAACCCGCUGCGCUGACACCAGCCCCAGCCUCUUCGUCUUUGUUUCUUUCUGAAAACAAAGAUGUAAUUUCCUUAGCUUUGUUGCUUUUAAAUAGCUUCAUCAAAGCCCAUCUCUGCAUGGACACAUCUUGGCACAGUGAAAUGUUUGCGUGUGGUAGCGCCAGUGCCAGCCUCAGGUUCAGGUAGGGGUGUGUCCCUGAGCUGCUUUUGUUUUAAUUUGUGGUUCAGGUACAAGGAGGAAGGGGCAAAAGGUUAGAGAUGCCAGGAGCCGGGGGAACACUUCUCUGGGUGAGUGCAGCACAGACCAGCCCUUCCCUGCGGAGGGCCUGGUUAUCUGAGGCAUGUCCUGCCCUGUAAAAACAAGCCCAGCUUCCACACCCACUGGCCCUGCCCCACCCCACCACACACACCGUGGCUUUUGGUUAAAUCUGAUGAGAGCCGGGUAGCUGGGCCUUUCAAAAACAGAGGAAUCGCAUGGCUCGGUGCUGGGGGAUUUGCUGUCGCUGGCGCCCACAGACACAUAGAUUUCUAUUUCACACAUUGAACGGGAGGCACAGGAGUGACUGAAUCAUUCACACACGGCCCCAGGAAGGAGUGUUGUGAGUCACACGAAUCAAUUUCUCUAAAUUACGGAGGAUACGGAGCGCCACUGCUGUCCUGAUGCAUGUUUCAGUUCACAAAUUUAAGUCUGUAAGAAAUGAAAUAGCGAACAUUGAGUGUUUUGUGUCCCUAUUAAUUUCUCCUCGCACCUAUGAGGCCCUGGCUCCUUAAAUGAAAUAUCUUGUUGUCUUAGAAACCUGAGUGUGCCUCCAGAGCAGGUCAGUGCAGCCCAUUCCCUGUGCCCAAGAGCACCGCAAUUUUGAGCCUGUGUGUGUGUGUUGGCGUCUCAGGUGCUUGGCUCUUUAAAUGUAAACCGCUUCAACACAGCUGAGAAUCCUGCUGCUAUGUGAUACUGUCACUAACGAGGGACCAAGUCUCACUUUGGAAGGAGGAAGAUCUGUUGUGAGUGUUUUACACGUGUUUGUUUUUGGAGCAGAGCGACAGUGUUUCCUAAGCAGUUAGUCCCAUCUCUAAAUUGAUGUAUGCAACAAUACACCAGAAUCCUAUAUUCUUAGAUACUGCGAAUUUAAAAUCACGUGUUCCCUUUUUUGCCAGCCCUGGAGUAAGUACAAUUUGAUGUUGCUUUGCUGGGAAAUUGGAACCGUUAUCAUCUCCACGGUGUGGAAUUGUGUGGACUCCAGCUGACGUCUCGGACGUGACCUUGCUGAGCCUGCCUCUGGUCUAUUGCAUGCUGGUGUCCCUCCAUGGCAGCUGCGAGUGUGGCUGGGGCAGAGCGAGAGCAAAAGCCUUGCUGUGAUCCUACCAUUAACAUCAGAUCCUCCAAUUAUAGUUUGCAUAAUUGUCUGGGAUCCCACCCCCACCCCCACCCCCAGCAUUUUUUCUGAUGCAGUUCUGUCACAGGAGGCGGUCUUGCUCG
Molecule: non-coding RNA, 4989 nt
Organism: Oryctolagus cuniculus (rabbit)
Lineage: Eukaryota; Metazoa; Chordata; Mammalia; Lagomorpha; Leporidae
Source: RefSeq, a predicted model, not a curated record